RNAcentral lists this transfer RNA (68 nucleotides) under Astrohamma tuberculatum. RNAcentral describes it as "tRNA-Leu". Lineage: Eukaryota; Metazoa; Echinodermata; Ophiuroidea; Euryalida; Gorgonocephalidae. The record is from RNAcentral.
ACAAAUGUAGUUUAAAUAGAAUUUUUGUUUUAGAAAUGAGUGGUAUUACUUGAACGUAAUCGUUUGUU